Molecule: non-coding RNA, 24 nt
Filed under: Arabidopsis thaliana (thale cress)
Lineage: Eukaryota; Viridiplantae; Streptophyta; Magnoliopsida; Brassicales; Brassicaceae
Source: RNAcentral
GACGACAUUGAUGACAAAAUCGCC